UACGUGGGUGGCAAGCGUUGUCCGGAUUUACUGGGCGUAAAGGAUGCGUAGGCGGACAUUUAAGUCAGAUGUGAAAUACCCGAGCUUAACUUGGGUGCUGCAUUUGAAACUGGGUGUCUAGAGUGCAGGAGAGGUAAGUGGAAUUCCUAGUGUAGCGGUGAAAUGCGUAGAGAUUAGGAAGAACACCAGUGGCGAAGGCGACUUACUGGACUGUAACUGACGCUGAGGCAUGAAAGCGUGGGGAGCAAACAGG
RNAcentral lists this ribosomal RNA (253 nucleotides) under uncultured bacterium. Its description in RNAcentral is "partial 16S ribosomal RNA". It matches the Rfam family "Bacterial small subunit ribosomal RNA", at positions 524 to 776 of the family's 1533-position model. The record is from RNAcentral.